GUUGUACUACAAAAUACGUAAAAAUCAGAGUGGGCCAUGGUUGGCACUCCCCUGGUAAGCCUGCAUAAUGUUUAGCCAGAAUAUCAUUUGUGGUUGAUUUAUUGAUGAAAAAGCAAGAAUGAAAUCUCAUGAUGUUCUGCCUUUCUCUAACAACAGGACAACUCUGAUGCAACUGAAUAGUCAUAUGAAGAACCAUAGUUGUACACUUUCUUCUUCAAGUACUUUUGUCCUUAUAAUGAUUUGCAUUUGCAUAGUGCUAUUGAGUGCUGCAAAAGAAUGGAUAUUGGUUUUGCCAGAAACUUUUGCACAUACUUAUCUUGGUAUUUGUGAAUUGUAAUAUCUCUUUGCAUAUUUGGACUGUUUCAAAUACUGGUAUUAGUUUUCAGUUUUUAUAUUUCA
Molecule: long non-coding RNA, 399 nt
Filed under: Androctonus crassicauda
Lineage: Eukaryota; Metazoa; Arthropoda; Arachnida; Scorpiones; Buthidae
Source: RNAcentral